AUAUAUAAAACAAAUGUUCUCUGGCAAUUUCUUGAAUCCUGCAAAUUGUAGCUUCAGAAUGGUGCAAAUUGGAUCUGUGACAGAAUUCUCAUGUUCACUGGUAUUUGCUUUUAUCCUAAGUUGUGGCCUUAGAAUUUAUGUGCAAAAGCUUCUGAAAAUGACAAAUUAUUUUUUCUCUUCCUUUCUUUUGAAAUGGAUAAGCUUCCAACUAAAAUGACUGGUAUCAGAUCAAUUAGAUUAAAUCAUUUUUAAAAGUGCAAUGAAUAGUGUAGUAAAGUUACAAAUAUGUCUGUUUGGGCAAUUAGAUAUCUUUAUCUCCUGGGUGGCGUCAAAUGAGAUGGAGGUUACCAUCUUACAAAUGUUCUGAAUACAUUGGAAGAAAUCCAGGAGAGACAUGAUGCUGUCAAGGAAAUUGAGAAAAAGCUUCUUUGACCACAGCAGGUUUACCUUGAUAUGUCAGUACUAGUUGAGGCACAAGGAGAGAUUUUAGACAACAUUGAAAGCCAGGUUUGAUUUUACUUUCAGAUGACUUUUUUGUGGAUCUGCAUGUGUGCGCACAAUUCGCAUUGUGCUUGGUUGGAUGUGAUGUGCAUUGCCAUUCUAAUUCUCCUGAUUAUAGUAGCUGUUAUAGUUGUUGGUGUCUUGAAACCUUGGAAGAGUGGCAAUGCUUGAAUGCCUCUUCUGUUACUUUGACUCUAUGGUUAGUGUUUAUUUGUCUUACUAGUGUGCCAAAGCCCAUAUUACCUCAACGAUUUGGUUUUCUUUCUUUCUUUUUUAUUUUCGGUUUUGGGGUGAGAUUUCUUUUCUUGGUGGUGGUGUUAUUUAAUAAAGAGUGUUGGGAUACUUUAUAGUUUAUACUAGGUACCCCCUUUAAUGAAAAUUUUCUGCUUAAGCUUUUUGAUUGUGUUAGAACCCACGUGUACACUACACGCAAGAGAAAGGAAGGAACAAGAGUUAAAAUAGGUGGCAGCAGGGGAUUAGAGCAAGCAGAACAGUCAGCAAUUAUUUUAUUGCAAGGUCAAUUUGGAGAAACAAGGAAACUUGGCAGAGGCUUGGCGACAGAGCAAUUGGCAACAGAGGAAAAAGUAGAAAAGGCAGCUGUAGGACCCAAAAAAAAGGAGGAUUGCAAGACAGUAGGAAUGUAGGAAGAGUGCAGGCCUCUCGAAAGCCUGAAGUGAACAGUGCACUUAGUACUUUGCUGUGUAAUUGCUGUUUGUUCUUGGUUUUGCUUUUGAGUUGUAAUCUCUUGGGUGAAGUAUGAGAAUCAUAUGUAAUAUAAUAACUUCUGUAAUCUUCCUGAAUUUGAAUGAAUAUUACUAGUGACUGGUUCUGUUUCAUUCACACACAUAUUUAGUGCAUUUCCAUUUUGGGUUGUGUUUGAGUUUGUGGAAACAAGGAAACUUGAUAUUGGUUGCUGGGUGAUCAGUGAAGCAAGGAGGAGCAUCUACUGGAGAAAUAUUGACCCAGGUGACAAGUGCUGCGGACCAUGUUAACAUGGGUACAGAUGGUCUUCGUGUUGCAAAAAGCUUGCAGAAGAAGUCAAGAAAAUGCAUGAUGAUUGCCAUUAUCUUGCUCCUGGUUAUUGCAAUUAUAGUCGUGCUUUCCAUUUUGAAACCUUGGAAGAAAUGAACAAAACAAGUCAAUCUUCUGUUACAUAAUUCACUUGGUUUUUUCUCACAAAUUUAUUUGCUUUCUGUAUUCAAUUGUUUGAGACUCAAUACAAAUAAUGCAAGAUUCCACGAUUGCACGACUGGCUCCA
Molecule: RNA transcript, 1759 nt
Organism: Mangifera indica (mango)
Lineage: Eukaryota; Viridiplantae; Streptophyta; Magnoliopsida; Sapindales; Anacardiaceae
Gene name: syntaxin-132-like
Exons: 4
Source: RefSeq, a predicted model, not a curated record